GGAGACUGGUACCAAGAUGAGACAAACUCAGAAUACCGAUGAAUGGUAGCACUAGUGAGACGGUGGGGGAUAAGCUUCAUCGUCAAGAGGGAAACAGCCCAGACCAUCAGCUAAGGUCCCCAAGUACUAACUAAGUGAGAAAGGAGGUGGGAGUGCUUAGACAACCAGGAGGUUUGCCUAGAAGCAGCAAUCCUUGAAAGAGUGCGUAAUAGCUCACUGGUCAAGCGCUCCUGCGCCGAAAAUGAACGGGGCUAAGUUAGUCACCGAAGCUAUGGACUACAUUGUAGUGGUAGGGGAGCGUUCUAUUAAGGGUGAAGCAUUAGCGGCAAGCAGAUGUGGACGAGAUAGAAGUGAGAAUGUCGGCUUAAGUAGCGAAAAUUAGGGUGAGAAUCCCUAACCCCGAAAGCCCAAGGGUUUCUCCAGAAGGUUCGUCCGUGGAGAGUUAGCCCGGACCUAAGGCGAAGCGAAAAGCGUAGUCGAUGGCAAGCAGGUAAAUAUUCCUGCGUGGCUUAAUUGGAGUUGCUACAGGGACCCGUGAAAACUAAGCACACCCUGAGUGGAUUGGGAGCGAGUAAUCGUGAGUGUGGAAAGAUAGCGGCAAGAAAAGCUGUAGUAAUGUUGAGAAUUAAGUCCCGGUACCCGAAACCGACACAGGUGGGCACGUAGAGAAUACGAAGGGGAGCGAGGUAACUCUCUCCAAGGAACUCGGCAAAA
Molecule: ribosomal RNA, 714 nt
Filed under: Cyanobacterium sp. MCCB 115
Lineage: Bacteria; Bacillati; Cyanobacteriota; Cyanophyceae; Chroococcales; Geminocystaceae
Description: bacterial LSU rRNA
Rfam family: Bacterial large subunit ribosomal RNA
Source: RNAcentral